This 505-nucleotide ribosomal RNA is filed under the name uncultured bacterium. RNAcentral describes it as "bacterial SSU rRNA". It matches the Rfam family "Bacterial small subunit ribosomal RNA", at positions 28 to 524 of the family's 1533-position model. The record is from RNAcentral.
GAUGAACGCUAGCGACAGGCUUAACACAUGCAAGUCGAGGGGCAUCACGGGAGUAGCAAUACAACUGGUGGCGACCGGCGCACGGGUGAGUAACGCGUAUGCAACCUACCUAUCAGAGGGGAAUAACCCGGCGAAAGUCGGACUAAUACCGCAUAAAACAGGGGCACCGCAUGGUGAUAUUUGUUAAAGAAAUUCGCUGAUAGAUGGGCAUGCGUUCCAUUAGGUAGUUGGUGAGGUAACGGCUCACCAAGCCGACGAUGGAUAGGGGAACUGAGAGGUUGGUCCCCCACACUGGUACUGAGACACGGACCAGACUCCUACGGGAGGCAGCAGUGAGGAAUAUUGGUCAAUGGGCGGGAGCCUGAACCAGCCAAGUCGCGUGAAGGAAGAAGGAUCUAUGGUUCGUAAACUUCUUUUGCAGGGGAAUAAAGUGCAGGACGUGUCCUGUUUUGUAUGUACCCUGAGAAUAAGGAUCGGCUAACUCCGUGCCAGCAGCCGCGGUAAA